AAUGAACGCUGGCGGCGUGCUUAACACAUGCAAGUCGAACGAGAACGGGCUAUAGCUUGCUAUAGUUGUCAGCUAAGUGGCGCACGGGUGAGUAAUGUAUAGGUAAUAUGCCUCUUACUAAGGGAUAACAAAUGGAAACGUUUGCUAAUACCUUAUACUCCUUAUUAACAGAAGUUAAUAAGGGAAAGAUUUAUUGGUAAGAGAUUAGCCUGUAUUGUAUCAGUUAGUUGGUGGGGUAAUGGCUUACCAAGACUAUGACACAUAACUGGUUUGAGAGGAUGAUCAGUCACACUGGAACUGAGACACGGUCCAGACUCCUACGGGAGGCAGCAGUGGGGAAUAUUGCACAAUGGACGAAAGUCUGAUGCAGCAACGCCGCGUGGAGGAUGACACAUUUCGGUGCGUAAACUCCUUUUAUAUGAGAAGGUAAUGACGGUAUUAUAUGAAUAAGCACCGGCUAACUCCGUGCCAGCAGCCGCCGUAA
RNAcentral lists this ribosomal RNA (484 nucleotides) under uncultured bacterium. Its description in RNAcentral is "partial 16S ribosomal RNA". It matches the Rfam family "Bacterial small subunit ribosomal RNA", at positions 29 to 523 of the family's 1533-position model. The record is from RNAcentral.